GUAACAAUUGUCUAAAACUGUCAAACAAAAUACAGUUAAAAAUUGAAAAAAAAACUACAUUUCAACAAUAAUGGCUUUAAAAACGCAGAAGGCAGUAACACACUGCUAUCACUGCCAGGACUGCAGCUAUUGUCCCCACUGACAUCAGCAACCACAGCCUCCAGCCUGCAGAGAGAGCAGAGUGGAGGGGGAAGGGAGAGACAGAGAGGGAGAGAGAGAUGUCACGUCCAGUAGACACUAUCUGUAUCAGAGCGGCUCCAGCGCUCUCUGUACCCCGACACUACGCCUCAGGCAUCCACACACAAGCACAGAGAGGGUGGAGAGGCAGUGACUGUGUGUUACCUGAGAUGGCAGUAUCUGAGGAGUUGCUCUGACCAUCACUCAUCUCUGCAGACAAAAAGGAGGGGUGCUGCCGCCUGCUCACCGAGGUCCACCUGGGUGCCGUUGCUGCAGUGCCAGGCAAGACUGGGGAUCUCCAUCACCACGACGCACACG
Lepisosteus oculatus (spotted gar) is the source of this 495-nucleotide non-coding RNA. Lineage: Eukaryota; Metazoa; Chordata; Actinopteri; Semionotiformes; Lepisosteidae. The record is from RefSeq and is a predicted model, not a curated record.